UCGGGAAUUUUGGGCAAUGGGGGAAACCCUGACCCAGCAACGCCGCGUGAAGGAUGAAGUAUUUCGGUAUGUAAACUUCGAAAGAAUAGGAAGAAUAAAUGACGGUACUAUUUAUAAGGUCCGGCUAACUACGUGCCAGCAGCCGCGGUAAUACGUAGGGACCAAGCGUUGUUCGGAUUUACUGGGCGUAAAGGGUGCGUAGGUUGUUUGAUAAGAUAUAUGUGAAAUACCUGGGCUCAACCUGGGAAGGUCAUAUAAGACUGUCAGACUCGAGUAUGGGAGAGGGUAGAGGAAUUUCCGGUGUAGCGGUGAAAUGCGUAGAUAUCGGAAGGAACAUCGGUGGCGAAGGCGUCUACCUGGCCUAAUACUGACACUGAGGCACGAAAGCG
RNAcentral lists this ribosomal RNA (389 nucleotides) under uncultured bacterium. RNAcentral describes it as "bacterial SSU rRNA". It matches the Rfam family "Bacterial small subunit ribosomal RNA", at positions 355 to 761 of the family's 1533-position model. The record is from RNAcentral.